AUGUUAAAAGCAAAAUAAGCGAAAGUUUAUGACGCAAAGCCAUAGGUCUAAAAGCUGAAAAGCUCAAGAUAGCUAGGUUGC
RNAcentral lists this non-coding RNA (81 nucleotides) under human gut metagenome. RNAcentral describes it as "Cyclic di-GMP-I riboswitch". It matches the Rfam family "c-di-GMP-I riboswitch aptamer". Rfam says of the family: GEMM was predicted in a large-scale screen for bacterial structured RNA regulatory elements. The record is from RNAcentral.